Molecule: long non-coding RNA, 645 nt
Organism: Lepus europaeus (European hare)
Lineage: Eukaryota; Metazoa; Chordata; Mammalia; Lagomorpha; Leporidae
Exons: 3
Source: RefSeq, a predicted model, not a curated record
AAGACAGCAGGUCCUAAUCCCUGGAGUCUGUGUUACGUUAUAGGGAAACAGAGUCUCUGCAGAUUAGGGAUUUUCUGAGAUGGAGAAAGUAUCCCAAAUGAUCAGGAUGGACUCGAAAUGAAAUCACUUGUAUACACAUAAAAGAGAAGCAGAGGUUGGAUGGAGUAUGGCUGGCAGCCGCCAUAAACUGGAAGAAGUCAGGCAAUUUCCCCCCCUAAGGGGGUGGGGGGGACAACUAAUUUUGGAUCUUCUCUGCCCUUCAGAACUGUGAAAAUAAGUUUGUGUCUGAGGUCAACAGGUUUUUGGAAAUUCAUUUCAGCAGCCAUGGGAAACUAGUUUACCAAGUUCCCUUCAUGGCUGUAGACAGCCCCUUUCCAGUGACCAACAACAGAUUGGCAGCAUCCCCCGACGACCAGUCAUCCCUGAUGCCGAAUACAGCGUUCCACCAAAACUCUGUGCUGAGCCCUCAGGUACAACAUUUUGGAGGCUCCAGAGAGAUAUGGAGACCACCUCUGGGAAGACCUUGCUCGGAUCCAUCCAGGUUGGUGCUCUGGCCAUAGGGGAGGUACCCCCUGAUGAUGUUCCAGGGCCCUGUGUCCUGAUUCACCGACCUGGGAGGCUCGGCUCGACCUCUUCACCGACCAA